RNAcentral lists this transfer-messenger RNA (355 nucleotides) under Planctomycetota bacterium. It matches the Rfam family "transfer-messenger RNA". From Rfam's summary of the family: Bacterial tmRNA, also known as 10Sa RNA or SsrA, is named for its dual tRNA and mRNA-like properties. Its role is to liberate the mRNA from a stalled ribosome. To accomplish this part of the tmRNA is used as a reading frame that ends in a translation stop signal. Lineage: Bacteria; Pseudomonadati; Planctomycetota. The record is from RNAcentral.
GGGGGCGCACCGGUCUCGACCGGGUGCAUUCGACUUCGGGUUGCGUGCCGGGGAUCUCGAGUCACCCCGUUAAAUCCACUUGGGGCGGCAUUGCAUGCCAACAACUAUUCGCUCGCGGCCUGAGUAAUCAGACCGCCGUUCCCGCGGGGAGUGCCUUCGGCCCUGCGGAAAUGCCACUAGAGGGCUGGCCGGCGAGCGGCGCUUCGGCGCGGACCGGCGAGAACAUACCGGAGCUUGGAUCGGGGUUGCCUGCCUGUGGGCGGCUCCGGGACGAAAACCAUCUGCAGGACACGCACGUAGACGCCCCCUGAUCAGGGCAGCCGGGACGCGGGUUCGAUUCCCGCCGCCUCCACCA